This 993-nucleotide ribosomal RNA is filed under the name Mycobacterium sp. RNAcentral's name for it is "bacterial SSU rRNA". It matches the Rfam family "Bacterial small subunit ribosomal RNA", at positions 434 to 1438 of the family's 1533-position model. Lineage: Bacteria; Bacillati; Actinomycetota; Actinomycetes; Mycobacteriales; Mycobacteriaceae. The record is from RNAcentral.
UUUUAGCAGGGAAGAAGCGAAAAGUGACGGUACCUGCAGAAAAAGCGCCGGCUAACUACGUGCCAGCAGCCGCGGUAAUACGUAGGGCGCAAGCGUUAUCCGGAAUUAUUGGGCGUAAAGAGCUCGUAGGCGGUCUGUCGCGUCUGCUGUGAAAACCCGAGGCUCAACCUCGGGCCUGCAGUGGGUACGGGCAGACUAGAGUGCGGUAGGGGAGAUUGGAACUCCUGGUGUAGCGGUGGAAUGCGCAGAUAUCAGGAAGAACACCGAUGGCGAAGGCAGAUCUCUGGGCCGUAACUGACGCUGAGGAGCGAAAGGGUGGGGAGCAAACAGGCUUAGAUACCCUGGUAGUCCACCCCGUAAACGUUGGGAACUAGUUGUGGGGUCCAUUCCACGGAUUCCGUGACGCAGCUAACGCAUUAAGUUCCCCGCCUGGGGAGUACGGCCGCAAGGCUAAAACUCAAAGGAAUUGACGGGGACCCGCACAAGCGGCGGAGCAUGCGGAUUAAUUCGAUGCAACGCGAAGAACCUUACCAAGGCUUGACAUAUAGAGGAAACGGCUGGAAACAGUCGCCCCGCAAGGUCUCUAUACAGGUGGUGCAUGGUUGUCGUCAGCUCGUGUCGUGAGAUGUUGGGUUAAGUCCCGCAACGAGCGCAACCCUCGUUCUAUGUUGCCAGCACGUAAUGGUGGGAACUCAUGGGAUACUGCCGGGGUCAACUCGGAGGAAGGUGGGGAUGACGUCAAAUCAUCAUGCCCCUUAUGUCUUGGGCUUCACGCAUGCUACAAUGGCCGGUACAAAGGGCUGCAAUACCGUAAGGUGGAGCGAAUCCCAAAAAGCCGGUCCCAGUUCGGAUUGAGGUCUGCAACUCGACCUCAUGAAGUCGGAGUCGCUAGUAAUCGCAGAUCAGCAACGCUGCGGUGAAUACGUUCCCGGGUCUUGUACACACCGCCCGUCAAGUCAUGAAAGUCGGUAACACCUGAAGCCGGUGGCCCAA